This 291-nucleotide long non-coding RNA is filed under the name Lupinus angustifolius (narrow-leaved blue lupine). RNAcentral describes it as "long non-coding RNA (LANG_LNC003358)". Lineage: Eukaryota; Viridiplantae; Streptophyta; Magnoliopsida; Fabales; Fabaceae. The record is from RNAcentral.
CUUCCUAGUCUAAGGGUCAGAACAUGCAUUUAAGUGGCCGUGUCGGAUUUCUAUUCCAAUUGUGUCAUAACAUCACGAUGCUCACAUCAUAUCAUUCAACCUCCCACUGGCAUAACAGUAUAACCAAUUAACUAACAUUAUCAUGAUUUUAAGCUCUGAUUCUAGUAAGACUCAUUGUUAUGGUUAUAUGGUGUGUUUAGUCUCACCAAUUCAUUAUAUGCCUAAUAAUGUAACUAUUGUUACCGUAGCUUGCGUCAAUUCUAAAUGGCACGAAAUAAUACUUACUGGCUG